Lutzomyia longipalpis is the source of this 549-nucleotide long non-coding RNA. RefSeq lists it as uncharacterized. Lineage: Eukaryota; Metazoa; Arthropoda; Insecta; Diptera; Psychodidae. The record is from RefSeq and is a predicted model, not a curated record. The transcript has 2 exons.
GCAGGAAUUUCAGAGAAGGAUCACGGAUAGGAAGAGAAUUGUUCUCGUGGGAAAUGGUGGAAUUGCCAGUGAGAUUGCCUACGCAGUGAAAGGUGUUACAAAUGAUUGGGUAGUCAGGGAUAAUCAAUCACAUUUCCUCCACAUUCCUUGAUCCAGGAGCUGCUGAAUUCUUUAAGAAGAAUCUGCAGGAAAAAGGCUCCAGUAUGGUGAAACGCAGGGAAAUUGUGGAGCAGCCUUGGGUACCGAUUGGCAUUGAAUGCCUGAUGUUUCCGGAAGUGGACGCAAUCUCCCGGAUUCCGUCAACAUUCACUAACUCUUGAGUGCGACUUUGUCGUUUCAGCAAGUGGUGUCAAUCCCAGAAUUGAUUACACGGUAGAUUCACCACUGGAGCGUGCCACAGACGGUGGGAUUUCAGUCAAUGAACUCAUGCGAGCAUCCCUGGUGGAUAUUUAUGCGGCUGGGGAUUGCUGUACGGCCACAUGGAAGCCAGCAGAGAAUUGGUUUGGCUCCUAAAAUGACAUAAAAUGGCUCUUUUCAGAGCCCAACAAA